AAUGAGGUGCCUGAUAAAAGGAUUAUUUUGAUAGAAUAAAUCAUGUAAAUUUUUACCCUCAUUA
RNAcentral lists this transfer RNA (64 nucleotides) under Scarodytes malickyi. RNAcentral's name for it is "tRNA-Ile". Lineage: Eukaryota; Metazoa; Arthropoda; Insecta; Coleoptera; Dytiscidae. The record is from RNAcentral.